This 403-nucleotide ribosomal RNA is filed under the name Verrucomicrobiota bacterium. RNAcentral's name for it is "Verrucomicrobia bacterium partial 16S ribosomal RNA". It matches the Rfam family "Bacterial small subunit ribosomal RNA", at positions 355 to 776 of the family's 1533-position model. Lineage: Bacteria; Pseudomonadati; Verrucomicrobiota. The record is from RNAcentral.
UGGGGAAUAUUGCACAAUGGGCGCAAGCCUGAUGCAGCAACGCCGCGUGAACGAUGAAGGUCUUCGGAUUGUAACGUUCUUUUGCAGGGGAACAUAAUGACGGUACCCUGCGAGGAAGCCCCGGCGAACUACUUUCCAGCAGCCGCGGUAAUACGUAUGGGGCUAUCGUUAUCAGGAUUUACUGGGCGUAAAGGGUGCGUAGGUGGUCUUUCAAGUCGGUGGUUAAAGGCUACUGCUAAACCGUAGUUAGCCUCCGAAACUGGAAGACUUGUGUGCAGGAGAGGAAAGUGGAAUUCCCAGUGUAGCGGUGAAAUGCGUAGAUAUUGGGAGGAAAACCAGUAGCGAAGGCGGCUUUCUGGACUGCAACUGACACUGAGGCACGAAAGCGUGGGUAGCAAACAGG